AUGCGGAGAGGGACGAGGGCGCCGCUGGUGCCGCCGAGUGCGAGACGGGGAGCAGGAGUACUGCCAGCGGUGCGCAGAACGCCCGUAGGGGGCGGAGGAGCCGGGCGGGGCGCGGACGAGGAAGAGGCCAUGGCGCCCUCAGGAACAGGCGUUUUGCCCCGAUCGGACGUGGAGGGUCCGGGGCGCGCAGCGGGGGCCGUGGCGACCGGGGGAGUGGUGACCGCGGGCGUGGGGGCGGCAGGCGCGGCGGCGGCGAGGGGCACCGCGGCGAAGGGAGCGGGCGCCGGUGCGUCGAAGUCCGCCGAACGGGUGCGGCGGAGGAGGCGGUGCAUGGUGGAAGCGGAAGCAGGAAGAGGACCGGAGAUACAGCGACGAGAGGGAGCAGGGAGAUCGUGUGAGAUACAACGGCAUGGGCCGGUAAUACUCCUGGCAUGCGGGGAUAAGCACGCACGCAGUGCGUGCCCGUUGGAGCUCCUGGCGACGCGGUCGUGGAGUUAG
RNAcentral lists this ribosomal RNA (498 nucleotides) under Triticum aestivum (bread wheat). Its description in RNAcentral is "partial small subunit ribosomal RNA". The record is from RNAcentral. Lineage: Eukaryota; Viridiplantae; Streptophyta; Magnoliopsida; Poales; Poaceae.